RNAcentral lists this ribosomal RNA (460 nucleotides) under uncultured bacterium. RNAcentral describes it as "partial 16S ribosomal RNA". It matches the Rfam family "Bacterial small subunit ribosomal RNA", at positions 338 to 795 of the family's 1533-position model. The record is from RNAcentral.
CCUACGGGUGGCAGCAGUGAGGAAUAUUGGUCAAUGGACGAGAGUCUGAACCAGCCAAGUAGCGUGAAGGAUGACUGCCCUAUGGGUUGUAAACUUCUUUUAUAUGGGAAUAAAAUGUUCCACGUGUGGGAUUUUGUAUGUACCAUAUGAAUAAGGAUCGGCUAACUCCGUGCCAGCAGCCGCGGUAAUACGGAGGAUCCGAGCGUUAUCCGGAUUUAUUGGGUUUAAAGGGAGCGUAGGUGGAUUGUUAAGUUCGUUGUGAAAGUUUGCGGCUCAACCGUAGAAUUGCAGUUGAAACUGGCAGUCGUGAGUACAGUAGAGGUGGGCGGAAUGCGUGGUGUAGCGGUGAAAUGCUUAGAUAGCACGAAGAACUCCGAUUGCGAAGGCAGCUCACUGGACUGCAACUGACACUGAGGCACGAAAGUGUGGGUAUCAAACAGGAUUAGAUACCCUGGUAGUC